RNAcentral lists this ribosomal RNA (524 nucleotides) under uncultured bacterium. Its description in RNAcentral is "bacterial SSU rRNA". It matches the Rfam family "Bacterial small subunit ribosomal RNA", at positions 356 to 896 of the family's 1533-position model. The record is from RNAcentral.
GGGGAAUAUUGGACAAUGGGGGAAACCCUGAUCCAGCGACGCCGCGUGAGUGAAGAAGUAUUUCGGUAUGUAAAGCUCUAUCAGCAGGGAAGAAAAUGACGGUACCUGACUAAGAAGCCCCGGCUAACUACGUGCCAGCAGCCGCGGUAAUACGUAGGGGGCAAGCGUUAUCCGGAUUUACUGGGUGUAAAGGGAGCGCAGACGGCAAUGCAAGUCUGAAGUGAAAGGCGUGGGCUCAACCCAUGAACUGCUUUGGAAACUGUAUAGCUUGAGUGUCGGAGGGGUAAGCGGAAUUCCUAGUGUAGCGGUGAAAUGCGUAGAUAUUAGGAGGAACACCGGAGGCGAAGGCGGCUUACUGGACGACAACUGACGUUGAGGCUCGAAGGCGUGGGGAGCAAACAGGAUUAGAUACCCUGGUAGUCCACGCAGUAAACGAUGAAUACUUGGUGUCGGGGAGGUAAACUCUUCGGUGCCGCAAGCAAACGCAUUAAGUAUUCCACCUGGGGAGUACGUUCGCAAGAAUG